Long non-coding RNA from Bombyx mori (domestic silkworm), 3028 nucleotides. RefSeq lists it as uncharacterized. The transcript is spliced from 2 exons. NCBI's taxonomy places the organism in Eukaryota, Metazoa, Arthropoda, Insecta, Lepidoptera, Bombycidae. The record is from RefSeq and is a predicted model, not a curated record.
AUAUAGAGUGUAAACACAGAUAUGUAGAAAUCGUACGUAGAAAGAGUUUUAAGAUCUAACGAAAAAAAUAUCGGUAAAACGUCAUUUAUUUAAAUUAUCUUAAAUCAUAAAUCAUCAUUUUAAAUUUUUUAUUUUAAAUUAUGUUUUUCGUUAUUAGUAUACCUACUUUAUUUUCUGUAUUUGUUUUUUAAAGUAUUGUCAUUUUUUUGUUUGUUUUAUUCAUCCUGUGUAUAUCAGCUGGCGGAUGGUGCAGAGACAUAGCGCGUGCAUAAUUUUUAAACUUCAUCCUUAUUCUUAUUUGUAUGUCGGAGAAGCCACAGUUAUUAACACCAUCGUCAGAAAUCGUAGGGGCGAAUACGGUGAUCGAGCUAAGAGAAAUAUUGAGUACACCAAUCACGUUUGUUGUCGUAGAACAAUUUAGAAAUCGUCUCUUGACAUUAGCAAACAGAAAACGAAUGACAGUUCUUAGGACGGAGGCACCGCUCUUCAAGAAGGCUGGUUGGUAAGUGUGAUGUCGUCUAUGCGCCUCCAUCGGCUAGGCUUUGUCGUAGCACGAAGUUAGCCGAGCUCCGACCAUAUCACGACUACAUAAUUAUGUAAUGUACUGCGUGAAUUCGAACUUAAGUUUACAAGAAAUGGAAUUAUAAUGGAGAAAAUACCACUUUGUGCUACUGUUGUUGAGAAGGACGAGGUCAAAGAAGACUACAAGAAAUUAAAAAAGAAGAUUACAAGAAGUUAGACAAAGAAGACUGCAAGAAGUUGGAGAAAGCACCUUACCAGAAUCAUUUCACACAAAGCAGUAUACUGUAAAAAGAGAAAAACGAUAGAAGACUUAUCGCUGUACCAAAGAAGAUGGAUAAAUAAAUUUUAAGAGAGAAAUAUAGGAGAGGACGACGUUAAAGAUCGGGAAUGAAGGAGGUCUGAUACUUACGACUAGUCCUGCUGAUUUUAUUAAACUAUCGACUGAUUCGUCUGAGGCAAACGAAUAAGCAGGAAUAGCCGAGUGGGAAGAUCGGACUAGUUUUUGUUUAAUUCACACUGGCACACUAAUUUAUUUUAAAAUAAAAAAUCUAAAUGACAGUCAGCCAUUGACAUGGCGACGUUACAAGUAGUGUUUUUUUUAAAUAAGUGUUUUUGUUGUUAAACUAAAUAUCCGCUAGAUUUCGCCAUACUAUCUUACACAUAUACUUAUAUAUAUAUAUAUAUUUACGCUUAUGUAUGGUAUGUAUGUAUUUUUGUGUAUGUAUGUAAAGAAACUAUAUUUCUUUAUAUUACAUUUGUACAGCGCCCUUAUAGCUCCUGCGUAAUUAUAUAGACAGCCCUGUCCAUAAUGGUGACAUGCGUUGAGAUUGAAGGGUUGACAUCUGGCAUGUUCGGGCAUAUUGUUACUAAAUUAAAUUGGAUAACUAUUAUAAGGAAUUGAGAGUGGUGGACUUUAAAUGUCGUUUCUUUGUUUUCAGAGCAACGCCAUGUUUAUUACAACUUACAAUUCCUAUUUAUAACUCCUGGUAAAUUAAAUAGAAAAAGUCUAAUAUGUAUUUGUAAUUUAAUAUAAAUUUCAUUGUACCUACCAUUUCUUCUUCUUCUCAGUCGUAUGCACUCUUGGCAGAGUGGUCGAGGUCAUCGCUUUGGGUGGUGGUGCGCUUCACCAGACGUCGCCAUUCCUCGCGUACCACGGCCCUUCUUGUGCACUCGUUAAGGACCGCUUAGAGCUGCCUUUAUUUAGUCGGUCCAUCGUAACGGUGAUCUGCCGCACGGUCUUGUACCCUCUAUCAUGCCCUGCACCACAAGGCGCUCAACUGAGUCGUCACUCCGCCGCGACAUAUGCCCGAAGAAAGUGAGAAUGCGACGUCGAACUCGUCAAACACUUCGUGAAACUUAACCCCCAAACAAAGCCCUCUGAGUUUCUCGCCGGAUCGUCUCGGUCGAUCGCGAUUCACAUCCGGUACUAGAUUCAGCGAAGCACUACUCGUGCCUAGGCAGAUGCUAACAACGUCUCUCAGGCUAAGCCCCGCGAGCUCACCCAACAAUCAAGAUGAAACCAGAAUAGCCUCACGAGGCUACUGGUAGGUAGGUAGGCAAAAACAAUGGUGGUCAUUUAAUACCUAAAACUAAAAAUGGCUUAAAUAAAUAAGGGUAUUUAGAUGUUUGCAAAAUUUGUCGAACGAAUACAGCAAGCAGCCAGUAAACAUUGUUGACGUAGGUACGUCAAGUGUUUUGCAGUCGUGAUGACCUUAGUCCGAUAGUCGCUGCUUGAUGCCAAGUUCUUGUAGAAUUGACUGAAUCGUUCUGAACUCCGUCCACAAUAUUUGCAGCAUUCUCCAGCACCACUUUUCGAGAGCAUCUAUCCUCUUUUUCUCACUUUCUCUUAAUGUCCAGGUCUCAGCAGCCUAAAGAAAAACUGGGAAGAGUAGCGCUCUUACAAGUCUGAUUUUAGUGGCUUCGGUGAUAUUUCGAGUCCCCCAUAUUUUCUUCAGCCUGUCCAUUGCUGACGUCAAAAUAGUCAUACGCCGCUUGAUUUCAUCAACGCACCCGGCACUAUUCGAUAUCAGUGCACCCAAGUAAAUGUAUGAUUGUACGACAUCGCCGUUCGCAAUUUUUCUGACCUCUGGCGAGUUAUUAUUAGCACGGUCGACAAUCAUGACACUUGUCUUGUUGCGGUUAAUUUUAAGUACGAAAUGAAGACUGACGCAUUCCACUCUGCCGAGUAGCUCCUCCAUAGGGGUGACACCUGACGCGACUAAAGUGAUGUCGUCUGCAUAACGAAGAUUUGAAAUCUUUCGACCUCCGAUAGUUAUUCCAUCCGACUAGAUUUCGAGGGCGAUUCUCAUUAUAAGCUCCUUAUAUAUAUUGAACAGGAGCGGUGAUAUAAUACACCCUUGGGGAACUGCUGCGCUAGGGUGGAUGUGACCAUUUUUUACCUACCACUAUGUACUCUGCACUACCUUUGGUUGACUGGUAGAAAAUUAAGUCCGCCAAUAUAAAUUUUACAUGAAGUGUAAUUAAUAAACGAAUAUGAUCACUAAAA